UACGAAGGGGGCUAGCGUUGCUCGGAAUUACUGGGCGUAAAGCGCACGUAGGCGGAUCGAUCAGUCAGGGGGUGAAAUCCCAGAGCUCAACUCUGGAACUGCCUUUGAUACUGUCGAUCUAGAGUAUGGAAGAGGUGAGUGGAAUUCCGAGUGUAGAGGUGAAAUUCGUAGAUAUUCGGAGGAACACCAGUGGCGAAGGCGGCUCACUGGUCCAUUACUGACGCUGAGGUGCGAAAGCGUGGAGAGCAAACAGG
RNAcentral lists this ribosomal RNA (254 nucleotides) under uncultured bacterium. RNAcentral's name for it is "partial 16S ribosomal RNA". It matches the Rfam family "Bacterial small subunit ribosomal RNA", at positions 524 to 776 of the family's 1533-position model. The record is from RNAcentral.